AUACGGAGGGUGCGAGCGUUAAGCGGAAUUACUGGGCGUAAAGCGUGCGUAGGCGGUUUGCUAAGUCAGAUGUGAAAGCCCCGGGCUUAACCUGGGAACUGCAUUUGAUACUGGCAGACUAGAGUAUGAUAGAGGGGGGUAGAAUUCCUGGUGUAGCGGUGAAAUGCGUAGAUAUCAGGAGGAAUACCAGUGGCGAAGGCGGCCCCCUGGAUCAAUACUGACGCUGAGGUACGAAAGCGUGGGGAGCGAACAGGAGUAGAAACCCUAGUAGUCC
RNAcentral lists this ribosomal RNA (274 nucleotides) under uncultured bacterium. RNAcentral describes it as "partial 16S ribosomal RNA". It matches the Rfam family "Bacterial small subunit ribosomal RNA", at positions 523 to 796 of the family's 1533-position model. The record is from RNAcentral.